This 5538-nucleotide long non-coding RNA is filed under the name Sus scrofa (pig). Its description in RNAcentral is "lncRNA (ENSSSCG00000054377.1)". Lineage: Eukaryota; Metazoa; Chordata; Mammalia; Artiodactyla; Suidae. The record is from RNAcentral.
GUAUACUGAGCUACAGGUGGCUAUUCUAACCAGAGAUUUACAUGCAACCAAAGUUUGCAGAUAGUCUUAGGUUCUUAUCACAUUCUCCUUAGAAAUGGAAGAAGGUUAUGAACAUCUGGGAUAAUACCCUUUGGCAAGACAUAAAGAGAAAUGCUUAUCAUUUUGUUAACUGCAUAUAGUCUUAUUUUGGGAGGUGCUCUUCCUUUGUGGCUUCAUGGCAAGAAACCAAUGGUGUCUACUUUUCUUAGGAGUAGAAUGCUUUGCAUUGCUAAGAGGUUUUUAAUUACAUAUUUGUGAACUCAUCCCCAAGAGUUUUGCCCCAUGAAUACAGAUAACACUUUACAAAAGCAGAGGCUGGGAAGGACUCAGACAGACAGGAAAGUGGCAAGGGAGGCUGGCGUGUGCAGUACCCGGCUCCUGGAGGGACUUUGGGACAACCAGCAGGGGAACUAGGCUGGCCAGGUUUCCAGAGUGGCCUCCUGCCUACAACACUGGCCUUCUGUUUCAUGGGCUGUGAAGAACCAUUGGGAAGAAGACAAAAUACUCAACAUUUUAUUUAUAUCACAUCCAUGCUGAAGCAUUCUGAAGAACCUGAGGUGGCCAUGGCAUUCCUUCUCUUUUAUUCACUUGGUUACAGUUUAAAAUCUGAAUAGCUGUUUAUGCUGGAAGGCUGAACACCCAAUCAGCAGUCUUUGAAUUGAAGCUGUAUUGUUCACUCAUGGAAAUGCCUGUUUCGUCUGUCAGCUCUCUUUUAUAGUGAGCUAAUAAUUUAUGCUUGCUAAAGAUGUUUUCUGACCUGUGAUUCCAUUGCCAGUUAGGAAAGGGCUUGGUAGUAUUCACACUUCCUUUCUUAAUAGGGGGCAUGAAGGUACGAUUAGUGAAAUUGCUGCUCCAGUGCACUAAUGGGACCCACACCCAGACUGGGGGAGAGUGGCAGUGUAGGAGUGAGGUACCCUAUCCUUGAGAAGAGGCCACUAGUCUUGGAGGAAAGAUGUCCUGGAGAGGGGCCUUUUGGGGAGCCACCUUCAUCCCUGGAGGUCUGCAUGACCCAGUGGUCCCCGAUGGCUGAGAGGUUAAUGCACCUGCCGAAGUGCCUGAGGACACUAUAGGCAUGGGACUUCAUGCAGUGUUCACUAACUCCAAUGAAAUGGAUCACUUUCAUCCAAUAUGUUUGUACCAUCUCUGCAAAUUCAUCUUAUUAAAAAAAAAUCAUGAUCCUUGUAGACAGGUGACCCAUUUCAAAAAGAAAGCAACAACAAAAAACAGCAAAAACCCAAAAAUCUUGACAGUAAAAAUUCUUUGUGCCCUUCCAAAAAAAGGAUCUAUAUGAGCUUAAACUUUGUAUUCUUUAUCUUACUACUGCUGAAAUCACAUUAUGUUAAGUGGGACUUCUUUAAAUGGGCCACCCUGCAUUAUAAUUAUAAUCUUUUCAGAUAUUUAAUUUGCAAGUUAUUGGCAGAUCCUUCCUGAAAAGGACUUUUCUAAUUUCAAAUGAAAUUAUUCUCCAGGUGAAGUGUAUUUUUUCCUUUUUUGAUUCUCUCAUAAAACUUGGUUUUUAUUUCUCUCAGAGCAUUUUUCUUAGCCUCAGUAACAAUCAUUCGUGUACCUGUUUUAUACUUUACCAGUUUUGGCCAUUUCUUGGGGUCCAGUGACUUAAUCUUCAUUUCAUAUUAUUUGCAGCCCCUAUCUCAAUGCCUUCUUUCAGAAAAGACUUAAUGAAUAUUGGUGAAUUGAUUUCAAGAAUAUUUUUUAACAAAACGUCCUGAAUGGAAACAGAAUCUCUCCCAACGUAUUCUAAUUAGUUUGAGAAACAGAUCUGAAUACACAGUGGCAUUGAUGCGUACACUCAGAAAGCAGAUCUUGUUUUAGACAUCAAGAUAAAUACUGUGAGUGAGUAACAAUCGUAAAUAAACCCUUUGAAGAAGAAAUUUCAGGAGACUUUGACAUUUUAAAAAUAUGAGUAAAUAUUUUGAAUAAAAUAUUAAAUAUUUUUAUUCUUACUGACUUUGGGCUUUAAUUGUCCUGGUAAAAAAGAUGCUGAAACAUCUCUGGAGAAGCUAGCUUCUAAAGUAGUCUGAAACAGUAAUAACUGAUGAUGUCAUGGCACUUUGACAUUGACCGAGGGCUUUCACAUUGAAGUCAACAUAAAUAAUCCCCUUCUAUAGGUGACUUCAGACAGAUCCUCUGAUUGCCUGAGGUCACUCAGUGAGUGAGGACCAGAGCUAGAGCUGACCGUAGGCUCGCACAGUGAGGGCCACCUCUCCUCAGUUACCCCUGCUCCCUCAUUUCAGUUUUCUAAGUUAUAUUUCUUUUUUAAAAUAAAUAAGCAGAAGAUAGUGUUUAUCAUCUUAUUUAGCUACAGAUUUCUGCUUUACAGAAACAGAUUUUUCAGUGUUAAGAGCAACUGCAAAACUUUUGACACAAAACUUUUUACAGUUAAGGAAAGAGAGCCUUUGUCUUAUUAUUGUUGUUGUUAAGGGCAGCAGGUAAUGGAAUUUUUUAAACUUUUCAUAUUCUAGUUGUUGAGUUAAUAGCUCUGUUACACAGAUAUUCUUUCUAUCCUAGCAAUAAAGAAACAGUAUUCAGAAAGGAUCAAUCAUUUUAUAAACAUCAUACCUAGAAAAUGACAAAAAUAGGUUGGUUAUACCCAAAACUGAGUACAGCAAUUCAAACUUAUGCUAUGACAUGCAUUGACUAUAAUUACACAGUUAACUGCAGAAUUAAGAAUUUUAAUGAAUUAUAGCACUUCAUCCAAAGCUUUUGCUAAAUAAUCCAUAACUCAUGAAGUUCCUUGUCCUAUCUUCAAAUUCCUUUCUGUAGCUGAAUCUUUUCUUGAACUGCUCUGUAGGAGCAAUAGACAUAAAAAAUUAGUUUUAAUUACGUACUUUUUUUAAACUCAAAGGUUUGCCUUACCUUACUUUGUACUUUGUUCUGACAGAGUUCUCCUUCUUAUUUUUACAUACCAGGUUCAGAAGUCCAUUUAUGCUUGAAUAUGCUUAAUGCAAAGUGAUGUAACUAGAAAAUAUUCAGAGAAGAGCCAGCCACUGAAAUGAUAAAAUGUUAAAAUAUGUUUUCUGAAGGCAGAUAAAUUAAAAGACAAGACUGUUCUUCAGUCUAGAAAGAUUAAGGCUCUGAAUAUGGUCAGCAUCUUGAUCAAAGUUAAAAGAUUGUUGUAUAAUAUUUGUAGGACAAAUAUGAAUCUGUUUCCCAAACCCUAGCAUUUCCUUAGGGAAUAUUUCUUGUGUAUAAAACUUACAUGUACUUUCCACAGAAUAUCCCUUAAUCCAUGAUCAUUUUUGACACUUAAGUCUAUGUAUACCUCCCUCUAACUGUAUGUUUUCCGAAGCCUGCUUGCCCAUCUUUGUAUUUUUGGUUGUUCUUGUAUAGUGCCAUUCACUAUGUAAAUCCUCAAUAAAUGUCUAUUUAGUUGAACUGUAUAUUUCAGAUAAACAUGAAGCAUGGUUUUAUGAAGUGGCUGAGAUAUUUAGGAAUCUUUUUACUCCAAGCAAUGAUGACAAGCUUAUGUUCCAGCAGAUUCAAGAAAUCUUUGGGUGGAUCAAGUACCGGUAUACUUAUAGUCUCAUUGUUACAGGCUUAAUCAUAUUUGCAGAAAUAAAUUACUAUUGGAGGUGUAAACUUGAAUGACAAUAUGUCCUUCCAAAUAACGAAUUGCCAUGCUGGACUGGAAGAUCCUUCGUCUGACUUUAUAUGACAUUAUCUUUACUGAUACUUUUAUAGGUUGCAUUAAAUGUGUGUGGAAACUUCAUCUAUCAAUUUCUUUCAAACAUACUCCCAGGAUAUGUCAUUAUGAAACAAUAUCAUGAUUGUCAUUCUAGCUGAUAAUAUUUUAACCCCCGUCAUUUGGCUUUUUGGUCAGAUAAAAACUCUGAGAAAGCCACUAUGUCAACACACUUUAACUCAGUAUAAUCAGUGGGAAUGAAGGAUUCUGUGUCUCUUGCCUACCCAGUAUCAAAUUGUUUCCCAACUCAUCUUUUUGGCUAUGAUCUCCAAGCCUUCUUGGAGAGACUAUCCCCCCCAGGCCACUGCUGUAGCUGGAUCAGAAUCAUGUCUCAAAGAACCGCUUACAGAUAGCUUUAGAUUAUGACCUGUGAUAGUGGAAAGAUCUUAUUACCCAUCCCCACUUUUUUUCUCCCUUUGCUCUCACCUUUUCAGUAUCCUUUAGGCAUACAAGCACCACAGCUACUAAGAAAACAAUUCAGCUUUUUAUAACAGAUGGGGAGCUCCAUCUGGUGUAAACAUAUAGAGGAAUGCCCUUGGUGUUUGUGAGAAAUGUGGGAAGCAGAGACGAGCUCCUCCUCAUAAACCAUGUGCCCUGUCAUGAGCUUCUCUUUCAGUAUAGGAGUUGACAGCCACUUAGUCCCUCAAACUUAGGCAUGGUCUAGGGAUAGAUUAUGGCUGUUUUUGAACCACAGUGUUGCUGUUGAAAUGUAGCCACUGGUGCAAUGUACAUGGUGCAAAUAACCCUCAAACACUGACUUUAAAGAAGUAAUACAAUCCUGGUUGGAGUAUUUGCACAGAAUAAAGCUGUAGCCCAGUACCAAUCAGAUAGCAGGUACUCAUAGAAUGGAUGCAUGAAAGAUGACCAAAGCAUAGCUUGAUUGUGUCCAGGUGAGCUGGUAAGGGUAGAAAAUAUCAUAGACAUGCUUUUUCCUUCACAUCUAAAAAGUGGGGUAGAGGUUGAGGGCAGAGAUGAGUUGGGAAUUACUAAAUCUUCAAGGAUGAUGAGGAGGAGUCUCCUUGCUUUCAUUUUUUUUCUCUUAUCCAACAAUCAUGCUAGAUAAGAUAGGAAAGGCUAAGUUCAGCAUAGUUUCUGUACAGCUUAUAUAACUUGUGAGACUCUGAAGAAAGUAGUUUAGUGUGUGGUACUUUCUAGGUUGAAAAAGUAUUUUGUAAAUCCUAAUCUUUAAUUUGUGUUAUCUUGCUAUUGUGAUUAUUCUCGUUUCCAUACGCUAGGCAGUGCGCCAUGCUUUUCUGUGGGAUACACACCUCUUCUCCAUAAUUAGAAUCCUUUGGCUCUCCUGCUUUGGUAGCUAUUUGAUGAAAAGAUUAAAGAAUAAAGCUGUAUCCGAGACCCCUUCUGUAGUCUACAUAUAUUUACAUAAAUUCCUUGAAAAGUAAAUUAAAAAAAAAAAAAACUACAUGAACGAAAUGGUGAAGACAUGUGAGAUCUAAAGGAACUACUUAUUUGAAGGGAAGAGAACAACAGUCUUGUGUCAUCACAGUUAAACUGAGGAUGCCGGUUCAUUUACUAUUUUCGGUGAAUUUUAAUUGAGUUGUGUCUGAUUUUUAUAAAUGUUGUCAAUCUUCAUUUUCUCUGUCUCCCAUGCACCAACCUAAACACACACACACACACACACACACACACACACACACACACACACACACACACACAGCAGAUCUAUAUACCAAGGCGUUUUGGGAAGCCGCUGUCUGUAGAUAUACCCUAGCACCAACUUGUACAUAGUGACACUUAGUGCUAUAAGUACUAAAACAUCCAACCUUGAGAGAAUACCCAUA